AUGUACACGGCUUUCCAGGUGGACGAAGAUACGUUCAAGGUGUGUUCUAUCAUGGGCAUGUCGGAUUCAGAACCUGAAGACCCAGACAAGGGAAGGAACUACUUUGUGAAGGCAUCGAUAAGCGAAGGCGAGUACUACUGCCAAUGCUGCAAAUUCGAACGGGACGGGAUUGUGUGCUGUCACAUUCUAAAAGUAAUGGACUUGAACGCGGUGACACGAAUGCCCCGCCAUUUCAUAAGGCGGCGAUGGACUUGGGACGCUGACGACGCAUUGGCGCCGCAAACAUCAAACGGAGUUUUGGCCGUGCAUGACGAGAGACCAGAGUCCACCAUGGAAGCCGUGAGGCAUGUUGUGUUGACAAAGAACUAUGCUGAACUAAUUGAUGAAGCGUGCAAGAGUGAUGAGACAUCAAGAGUCGCAGAAAAACACAGGAAGGCCCUCAAAAGAGAGCUUGAUGAGAUCAAGAAGAGGAAAGCUAAGGAAGCCUUACACAGGUUCCCCCGCACAUCAAGUGUGCCUUCGUCCACAGGGCCAUCAUCUGAAAACUCGGAGGUAGGAUCUGGAACAGCAAGCACACAAACACAGGUUACGAACCCGCCCCGUUCCAUCACAAAAGGGCGUCCAAAAGAGAUAAGAUACAAAUCGGGAUUGGAGAUUCAAGCAAAACACAAGAAACCAAAGAAAGGGACGGGCAAUCCGUAA
RNAcentral lists this ribosomal RNA (702 nucleotides) under Triticum aestivum (bread wheat). RNAcentral's name for it is "partial small subunit ribosomal RNA". Lineage: Eukaryota; Viridiplantae; Streptophyta; Magnoliopsida; Poales; Poaceae. The record is from RNAcentral.